AGUGAACGCUGGCGGUAGGCCUAACACAUGCAAGUCGAACGGCAGCACAGUAAGAGCUUGCUCUUACGGGUGGCGAGUGGCGGACGGGUGAGGAAUACAUCGGAAUCUACUUUUUCGUGGGGGAUAACGUAGGGAAACUUACGCUAAUACCGCAUACGACCUACGGGUGAAAGCAGGGGAUCUUCGGACCUUGCGCGAUUGAAUGAGCCGGUGUCGGAUUAGCUCGUUGGCGGGGUAAAGGCCCACCAAGGCGAGGCUACGUAGCCGGCCUGAGAGGGUGCUCGGCCACACUGGGACUGGUACACGGCCCAGACUCCUGCGGGAGGCAGCAGUAGGGAAGCUUCGGCAAUGGACGGAAGUCUGACCGAGCAACGCCGAGUGAGUGAAGAAGGUUUUCGGAUCGUAAAGCUCUGUUGUAAGAGAAGAACGAGUGUGAGAGUGGAAAGUUCACACUGUGACGGUAUCUUACCAGAAAGGGACGGCUAACUACGUG
Molecule: ribosomal RNA, 493 nt
Filed under: uncultured bacterium
Lineage: Bacteria
Description: partial 16S ribosomal RNA
Rfam family: Bacterial small subunit ribosomal RNA
Source: RNAcentral